GGCAGCCCUUAUCAAAGAUGCAACUGUUUCCACAUAGCUGGUGUGGUCAAAAACAAGCCCCAAGUAACAGUUUUCCUUAACUGUCAUGGUCCCGUUUGCAGUAACAUAUCUGUAAGACUUGGGGGAAAGACAGUU
Small nucleolar RNA from Arvicanthis niloticus (Nile rat), 135 nucleotides. Lineage: Eukaryota; Metazoa; Chordata; Mammalia; Rodentia; Muridae. The record is from RefSeq and is a predicted model, not a curated record.